GGCGGCGCCCGGCAUGGUCCGACACUAAAGGAAUUGGAAUCCUGUGCCUCUUGCCAUGCCUGCUCACGGAGGUUCUGCAAUGCUAAUCCUCCAGAGCUAAUUGCACCUCUCUCUCUCUCUCUCUCUCUCUCUCUCUCUCUGCACCAAAUCGUCCAGCGCUAAUUGCGCCUCUCUCUCUCUCUGCAACAAAUUAGCCAGUCGAAUAUGGUCAAUCACAAGUGAGUAUCUCUUUGAUUGCCUGCUUUUCGUGGGAUGAACAAGUUCUUUCUGAAUUAAAUAAACUAAAGGAUUGUUUGCUAGACCUUUUUCGAGGGCAUAAAAUAAAUCAGGUCUUCUGGUCCUGCCUUUGACAUCUGGGCAGCAAAUUUAGCUCUAAUAUUUGCCCCCAACAACUUGGUUCAUGCGUGGAUAAAAAAUAUUGUCUCUCUCUUUGUCUGUGAAGUCAUCAUAUUAUGAUGUGAUAUUGGCUUUCUCUUUGGUCUGAUUUAUUAAUGUGCAAAUACGACUGCGAAAACAUAUACAAUCCCUUGCCUCAUUUGAUAGAUGAACUACAUUGUAAAUAUGAAGCUAUCAGACUACCAACAGAACCGGAAAUUAUUAUGCUUGAUUUCUUUUCUGGAUUUUCUGACUUUUGAAGGCUCAUUUCAAAUACAGACAUUAUUGCAAUUGACCUGGAGUUCUCUGUGACACGAUCUAUACUAUUUUAUUCCUAUCUAGGCAUCAUUAUACUUGAUCUGGAAACUUCGAUGCAGCAUAGCAAGUAUUUGAAGAAUCUGAUAUGAUAUAAGAAGCUCAUAAAUCUGCGAAGGACCAUUGAGGCGGUAAACCUAGAGGCCAUCCAUUUUCUAUAGAUGAUAAAACCUCAUAGUAUACUAUGCCUGCUGUCCAUUGCUGAAUGUUGUUAAUGUUUGAAGCUCUGCUAUGUUCCUUUGUACUGACAGCAUGCCAUUGAAGGUGUUUGUAAAGAAUCAGAAGUCAAGGGUGUACUCCAAACGUUUCCAAGUCAAGCUCAAAAGAAGGCGAUGUAAGUUUGAUCAAUCCCGUGACAUGGUGAAUUUGGCACUACAGUCAUAAGAUGGCAUUGUUUUGGAUGGACUGCUUUCUUUGGUACACUUGUUGCAGAGGGUAAGGCUGAAUACAGGGCCAGGUUGAGGCUCAGCGACCAGGACAAGAACAGAUCUUCAAUUUGGUGCUCCUCCACGCUCCUCUUUUGAUUAGAUUUUCCAGUGCGGUAAUUGGAUCAAGUUCAGAACAUCUACAGUAUGUCUAUGGAAAUAUGGAUUUGUCUGUUAAGAUUUUAGUAGAGGGAUUUGUGUUAAGAUUUUAGUAGAGUAAUUGGAUCUGAAGUUCACAACCUAUGUAAUGUACUGAUGCGUUGGUUAUGUACGAAAUACAAUGUUCAGUCAAGAUCUA
Long non-coding RNA from Lolium rigidum, 1413 nucleotides. RefSeq lists it as uncharacterized. NCBI's taxonomy places the organism in Eukaryota, Viridiplantae, Streptophyta, Magnoliopsida, Poales, Poaceae. The record is from RefSeq and is a predicted model, not a curated record. The transcript has 3 exons.